RNAcentral lists this ribosomal RNA (491 nucleotides) under uncultured bacterium. RNAcentral describes it as "partial 16S ribosomal RNA". It matches the Rfam family "Bacterial small subunit ribosomal RNA", at positions 899 to 1397 of the family's 1533-position model. The record is from RNAcentral.
ACUCAAAGGAAUUGACGGGGGCCCGCACAAGCGGUGGAGCGUGUGGUUUAAUUCGAUGGUAAGCGAGGAACCUUACCAGGGCUAGAAAUUCAGCUGCAUAUUCUUGGAAACAGGAAUAGCCUUCGAGGGUGCUGAACAGGUGCUGCACGGUUGUCGUCAGCUCGUGGCGUGAGCUGUUCCCUUCAGUGGGGUAACGAGCGCAACCCUUGUCGUGUGUUACUUUUAGUCACACGAGACUGCCGUGGUUAACACGGAGGAAGGUGGGGAUGACGUCAAAUCAGCGUGGUCCUCUGACGCCCUGGGCGACACACGCGCUACAAUGGCUGGGACAAUAAGUUAUGCAAACCCGCAAGGGGGAGCCAAUCUUUGAAAACCCAGUCUCAGUUCGGAUUGAAGGCUGCAACUCGCCUUCAUGAAGCUGGAAUCGCUAGUAACCGCGAAUCAGCCACGUCGCGGUGAAUACGUUCUCGGGCUUUGUACACACCGCCCGU